RNAcentral lists this ribosomal RNA (699 nucleotides) under Variovorax paradoxus. RNAcentral describes it as "bacterial SSU rRNA". It matches the Rfam family "Bacterial small subunit ribosomal RNA", at positions 82 to 777 of the family's 1533-position model. The record is from RNAcentral. Lineage: Bacteria; Pseudomonadati; Pseudomonadota; Betaproteobacteria; Burkholderiales; Comamonadaceae.
AAAUCGUGUGGCGAGGGCGAGCGGGUAAGUAAUACUUCGAACGUGCCCCAAUCGGGGGGGAAACGCAGAGAAAGCUGUAAUAAUACCGCAUACGAUCUACGGAUGAAAAGCAGGGGAUCGCAAGACCUUGCGCGAAUGGAGCGGCCGAUGGCAGAUUAGGUAGUUGGUGAGGUAAAGGCUCACCAAGCCGUCGAUCUGUAGCUGGUCUGAGAGGACGACCAGCCACACUGGGACUGAGACACGGCCCAGACUCCUACGGGAGGCAGCAGUGGGGAAUUUUGGACAAUGGGCGAAAGCCUGAUCCAGCCAUGCCGCGUGCAGGAUGAAGGCCUUCGGGUUGUAAACUGCUUUUGUACGGAACGAAACGGCCUUUUCUAAUAAAGAGGGCUAAUGACGGUACCGUAAGAAUAAGCACCGGCUAACUACGUGCCAGCAGCCGCGGUAAUACGUAGGGUGCAAGCGUUAAUCGGAAUUACUGGGCGUAAAGCGUGCGCAGGCGGUUAUGUAAGACAGUUGUGAAAUCCCCGGGCUCAACCUGGGAACUGCAUCUGUGACUGCAUAGCUAGAGUACGGUAGAGGGGGAUGGAAUUCCGCGUGUAGCAGUGAAAUGCGUAGAUAUGCGGAGGAACACCGAUGGCGAAGGCAAUCCCCUGGACCUGUACUGACGCUCAUGCACGAAAGCGUGGGGAGCAAAAAGGG